Molecule: transfer RNA, 70 nt
Filed under: Sphaerodactylus townsendi
Lineage: Eukaryota; Metazoa; Chordata; Lepidosauria; Squamata; Sphaerodactylidae
Description: tRNA-Thr
Source: RNAcentral
GGACAUUGCGCAAUGGUAAAACAUCUGCUUCGUGUGCAGAAAUUCUCAGGUUCAAUCCCUGAUAUCUCCA